This 1399-nucleotide ribosomal RNA is filed under the name uncultured bacterium. RNAcentral's name for it is "bacterial SSU rRNA". It matches the Rfam family "Bacterial small subunit ribosomal RNA". The record is from RNAcentral.
UUAGAGUUUGAUCCUGGCUCAGGAUGAACGCUAGCGAGAGGCCUAACACAUGCAAGUCGAGAGGGUAACAGGGGAGCUUGCUCCCGCUGACGACCGGCGCACGGGUGAGUAACGCGUAUGCAACCUGCCCGCUACAGGGGGAUAGCCUUCCGAAAGGGAGAUUAACACCGCAUAACACCGCGACGGGGCAUCCCGAUGCGGUUAAAUAUUCAUAGGUAGCGGCUGGGCAUGCGUGACAUUAGCUAGUUGGCGGGGCAACGGCCCACCAAGGCGACGAUGUCUAGGGGAACUGAGAGGUCGAUCCCCCACACUGGUACUGAGACACGGACCAGACUCCUACGGGAGGCAGCAGUGAGGAAUAUUGGUCAAUGGAGGCAACUCUGAACCAGCCAUCUCGCGUGAAGGAAUACGGCCCUACGGGUCUUAAACUUCUUUUAUAGGGGGAUAAAUUGAGAUACGCGUAUCUUAUUGCAGGUACCCUAUGAAUAAGCAUCGGCUAACUCCGUGCCAGCAGCCGCGGUAAUACGGAGGAUGCGAGCGUUAUCCGGAUUUAUUGGGUUUAAAGGGUGCGCAGGCGGCACGUUAAGUCAGCGGUGAAAUGUCGGGGCUCAACCCUGGCACUGCCGUUGAAACUGGCGAGCUCGAGUACGGAUGAAGUUGGCGGAAUGUGAUGUGUAGCGGUGAAAUGCUUAGAUAUGUCACAGAACACCGAUUGCGAAGGCAGCUGACUAAUCCGCAACUGACGCUCAGGCACGAAAGCGUGGGGAUCGAACAGGAUUAGAUACCCUGGUAGUCCACGCAGUAAACGAUGAAGGCUAGCUAUUAGCGAUAGACAGUUAGGGGCUAAGGGGAAACCGAUAAGCCUUCCACCUGGGGAGUACGCCGGCAACGGUGAAACUCAAAGGAAUUGACGGGGGGCCCGCACAAGCGGAGGAACAUGUGGUUUAAUUCGAUGAUACGCGAGGAACCUUACCCGGGCUUGACAUUGAUUGACAGCAUUAGAGAUAAUGCCUUUUCUUCGGAAACAAGAAAACAGGUGGUGCAUGGCUGUCGUCAGCUCGUGUCGUGAGAUGUUGGGUUAAGUCCCGCAACGAGCGCAACCCCUAUCCUAUGUUACCAUCAUUAAGUUGGGGACUCAUGGGAGACUGCCAGGGACAACCUGGAGGAAGGCGGGGAUGACGUCAAGUCAUCAUGCCCCUUAUGUCCUGGGCUACACACGUAAUACAAUGGCCGACAACAGAGAGAAGCGAUACCGCGAGGUGGAGCAAAUCCCCAAAAGCGAUCUCAGUUCGGAUUGCAGGCUGCAACUCGCCUGUAUGAAGUCGGAAUUGCUAGUAAUCGCGGAUCAGCAUGCCGCGGUGAAUACAAUGCCCGGGCCUUGCACACACCGCCCGUCAAG